CUGGUCUUGACAUGUGCGGAACCCUCCAGAGACGGAGGGGUGCCUUCGGGAGCCGUAACACAGGUGCUGCAUGGCUGUCGUCAGCUCGUGUCGUGAGAUGUUGGGUUAAGUCCCGCAACGAGCGCAACCCUUGUCAUUAGUUGCCAUCAUUAAGUUGGGCACUCUAAUGAGACUGCCGGUGACAAGCCGGAGGAAGGUGGGGAUGACGUCAAGUCCUCAUGGCCCUUAUGACCAGGGCUUCACACGUCAUACAAUGGUCGGUACAGAGGGUAGCCAAGCCGCGAGGUGGAGCCAAUCUCACAAAACCGAUCGUAGUCCGGAUUGCGCUCUGCAACUCGAGUGCAUGAAGUCGGAAUCGCUAGUAAUCGCAGGUCAGCAUACUGCGGUGAAUA
Molecule: ribosomal RNA, 392 nt
Filed under: uncultured bacterium
Lineage: Bacteria
Description: bacterial SSU rRNA
Rfam family: Bacterial small subunit ribosomal RNA
Source: RNAcentral